Transfer RNA from Toxocara canis (dog roundworm), 72 nucleotides. It matches the Rfam family "tRNA". Rfam says of the family: Transfer RNA (tRNA) molecules are approximately 80 nucleotides in length. Their secondary structure includes four short double-helical elements and three loops (D, anti-codon, and T loops). Further hydrogen bonds mediate the characteristic L-shaped molecular structure. tRNAs have two regions of fundamental functional importance: the anti-codon, which is responsible for specific mRNA codon recognition, and the 3' end, to which the tRNAs corresponding amino acid is attached (by aminoacyl-tRNA synthetases). tRNAs cope with the degeneracy of the genetic code in two manners: having more than one tRNA (with a specific anti-codon) for a particular amino acid; and 'wobble' base-pairing, i.e. permitting non-standard base-pairing at the 3rd anti-codon position. The record is from Rfam. NCBI's taxonomy places the organism in Eukaryota, Metazoa, Nematoda, Chromadorea, Rhabditida, Toxocaridae.
CGGGCGGUAGCUUAGUAGUAGAGCUCCAGCCUUGUGUGCGGGAAGACCUGGGUUCGAUUCCGUGCUGCUUAC